RNAcentral lists this ribosomal RNA (460 nucleotides) under uncultured bacterium. RNAcentral's name for it is "partial 16S ribosomal RNA". It matches the Rfam family "Bacterial small subunit ribosomal RNA", at positions 338 to 795 of the family's 1533-position model. The record is from RNAcentral.
CCUACGGGGGGCUGCAGUGAGGAAUAUUGGUCAAUGGGCGCGAGCCUGAACCAGCCAAGUAGCGUGAAGGAUGACUGCCCUACGGGUUGUAAACUUCUUUUAUAAAGGAAUAAAGUGAGGCACGUGUGCCUUUUUGUAUGUACUUUAUGAAUAAGGAUCGGCUAACUCAGUGCCAGCAGCCGCGGUACUACGGAGGAUCCGAGCGUUAUCCGGAUUUAUUGGGGUUAAAGGGAGCGUAGAUGGGUUGUUAAGUCAGGUGUGAAAGUUUGCGGCUCAACCGUAAAAUUGCAAUUGAUACUGGGAGUCUUGAGUACAGUUGAGGUAGGCGGAAUUCGUGGUGUAGCGGUGAAAUGCGUAGAUAUCACGAAGAACGCCGAUUGCGAAGGCAGCUUACUAAACUGCCACUGACAUUGAGGCUCGAAAGUGUGGGUAUCAAACAGGAUUAGAUACCCCUGUAGUC